This 430-nucleotide ribosomal RNA is filed under the name Pseudomonadota bacterium. RNAcentral's name for it is "Proteobacteria bacterium partial 16S ribosomal RNA". It matches the Rfam family "Bacterial small subunit ribosomal RNA", at positions 355 to 776 of the family's 1533-position model. Lineage: Bacteria; Pseudomonadati; Pseudomonadota. The record is from RNAcentral.
UGGGGAAUAUUGGACAAUGGGGGGAACCCUGAUCCAGCCAUGCCGCGUGUGUGAAGAAGGCCUUAUGGUUGUAAAGCACUUUAAGCGAGGAGGAGGGUACUGGUAUUAAUACUACCAGGUACUGGACGUUACUCGCAGAAUAAGCACCGGCUAACUCUGUGCCAGCAGCCGCGGUAAUACAGAGGGUGCGAGCGUUAAUCGGAUUUACUGGGCGUAACGCGUGCGUAGGCGGCUAAUUGAGUCGGAUGUGAAAUCCCCGAGCUUAACUUGGGAAGUGCAUUCGAUACUGGUUAGCUAGAGUGUGGGAGAGGAUGGUAGAAUUCCAGGUGUAGCGGUGAAAUGCGUAGAGAUCUGGAGGAAUACCGAUGGCGAAGGCAGCCAUCUGGCCUAACACUGACGCUGAGGUACGAAAGCAUGGGGAGCAAACAGG